Molecule: ribosomal RNA, 398 nt
Filed under: Escherichia coli
Lineage: Bacteria; Pseudomonadati; Pseudomonadota; Gammaproteobacteria; Enterobacterales; Enterobacteriaceae
Description: bacterial SSU rRNA
Rfam family: Bacterial small subunit ribosomal RNA
Source: RNAcentral
AGGCGACGAUCCCUAGCUGGUCUGAGAGGAUGACCAGCCACACUGGAACUGAGACACGGUCCAGACUCCUACGGGAGGCAGCAGUGGGGAAUAUUGCACAAUGGGCGCAAGCCUGAUGCAGCCAUGCCGCGUGUAUGAAGAAGGCCUUCGGGUUGUAAAGUACUUUCAGCGGGGAGGAAGGGAGUAAAGUUAAUACCUUUGCUCAUUGACGUUACCCGCAGAAGAAGCACCGGCUAACUCCGUGCCAGCAGCCGCGGUAAUACGGAGGGUGCAAGCGUUAAUCGGAAUUACUGGGCGUAAAGCGCACGCAGGCGGUUUGUUAAGUCAGAUGUGAAAUCCCCGGGCUCAACCUGGGAACUGCAUCUGAUACUGGCAAGCUUGAGUCUCGUAGAGGGGGG